Molecule: long non-coding RNA, 3823 nt
Organism: Lotus japonicus
Lineage: Eukaryota; Viridiplantae; Streptophyta; Magnoliopsida; Fabales; Fabaceae
Exons: 3
Source: RefSeq, a predicted model, not a curated record
AGUGAUUUUGGAGGGAGAAUUGAGAAUUCUUUUGUCAUUUGAUUACGAUUCUUUAUGACCAAAAUCCCCUUCAGUGUCCUUUCUUCUUAACUGAUGUUUCAAUAUUAGGUUUAUUAUGGUGAUGGUUUCAUUCUAAUUAAUUGCAGUUAGGAUAACGACAAAAAUCCCCUUUUAUGUUCGUCUUCGAUUGUUGUGGCUUGUGGAAGUUGAGGUGUAGGUGAUUUGGAAGCCAGUCUGAACCAUUUUCGGUGUGGUCUGGGUUCAUUCAUUGCCUUCGACCUUUGAGCAGUUCGGUUUAUAACCAAAAUUCCAUUUCUUGUUCGUGCAAUUAACUAAUCUCGGAAGCCAUUUGAAUUCGUCACUUAUUGUGUAAUGGGUAGUAUGAGGCAGGAAGACUGUAUUACUUUAGAUGAGGAUGGGUUUGAUAAUGGAGUGCAUGAUAACAACAAUGAAGGUGAAAAUGGGUUUGUUAAUGAGUUAUCAGAUAACAACAGUGGGGGGGAAAAUGUAGAUAGUAAUGAAAAUGAGGAAGCUAGGGAGUUUAUGAAAUCAAUGACAAUUAACAGCUGAUGAUAUUAUAGGGAUGUAUUUUAAAACUAUGGAAGAAGCUGUUAUGUUUUAUGAAAAAUAUGCUCUGUAUAUGGGGUUUGUUUCCAGGAAGGAUGAUAUUCGUCAUAAUAGUAAUAAGAGCAUUAUCUGUCGUGAAUUAGUGUGUAGUAAACAUGGAAAUAGGCGUAAUAAAUAUGCAGAUUGAUCGGGUUAGAGAGGCAAAACCCAUUACAAGAGUAUCAUGUCCAACUAGAUUUCAUGUGCGUUUAGUGAGCAAUUGUGGUUUGUGGAAAUUUGUUUGUUUUGAGGAGUCUCACAAACAUAACUUGGAACCUCCUGAUAAAGUUCGUUUGGUAUCUGCAUAUCAACAAAUGAGUGAGGCUGACAAGGCACAAAUUGAUGGCUUCAUGUUUCAUGGCUUUAGGACUUCCAAUAUAAAUGAACUUGAUAGGGGUGGAAAAAAUGGUCAUGAUAGUACUCCAUUUAUGAAAUAUGAUGUAUACAAUUAUGUUGAGAAGAAGAGGGCUAGGGUUCAAAACGAGGAUGUCGUUGCUGCAUUAUCAUAUCUGCACGCUAAGUUUGAGGGUGAUCCUCUUUUUUUCUACAAGUAUAAAAAAAAUAGUGAAGGAUAUCUUGAACACUUAUUUUGGUGUGAUGGAGUUAGUAGGGUUGAUUACCAUGUGUUUAGUGAUGUGGUUGGCUUUGAUAGCAUCUGUAAGAAAAACAGGUAUAACAAACCUCUCGUUCUUUUUUGUGGAUAUAACCAUUAUGGACAAACUACAAUUUUAUGUUGUGCAUUGGUUGAAAAAUGAAACGAUAAAAACAUAUAAGUGAGUUUUGGAAACCUUUGUUGAAUGCAUGUUUGAUAAACAUCCUUAAGCAUUUGUGACCGAUGGGGAUGUUUCCAUGAGUGAAGCUAUUAGGAGUGUGUGUUUCCUAACUCUAGACACAGGCUGUGUGGUUGGUAUAUACAACAAAAUGCUUUGGAAAAAAUUAAGAUUCCUGAAUUCUUGGAUGACUUUUCAGUUUUGGUAUAUGGUAACUUCUAUGAGGAAAGGUUUGAAUCUUUUUGGCCAAAGGUUAUUGAAAAAUAUAAUCUUUCUGAAGAUAAGUGGAUGAAAUUUUUUUAUGAGAUGAAGUCUAUGUGGGCUAGUGCAUAUCUGAGGAACAAUUUUUUUUGCAAGAAUAAGAACUACCCCCAUGUGUGAAGGUAUUAACUCAUUAUGUAAGACCUUGAAUCAAAUAAAUAGUUUUAUUUACUUAUUUUCCAUAAUUUAUAGCAACGCGUGCUAUUUUAUCUUGUAUUUGUGUUUGAAAUAUUAUUCGUACCACUAUGACGGGAAAGAUCUAUGGAGUAAUUGCCUUAUAUUAAUUAAUUGAGUGUUUAUAUUUUAUUAUUUUAUAUUAUUUUAGGAUUUUAUUUUUCUAAGUUAACACACACCAACUUGUAAUCUCUCUCUUUCAUGAAGAGAUGACCUCCCUCUGUGAUGACCUAUGAUGAUCUUCUCCUUAUCCCUCCAAGAUUUCCAGGCAAAGAGAAUUGAGGAGAUUCUCCCUCAACCAAUGAGAACUGGACACCUAAGUGCACUCUCCCUCCUCCUUAUCUCAACACUCUCACCUCCACUACACACCUCGCUCUCCUUAUCCCAUCCCAUUCACGCUCUGUCACUCAUCACUCUCCUUCACUAUUGUUUUCUCUUUACAACCACACACAUCUUCUCUUUUCUCUCUCUUUCGCUCUCACUCUCAUUCUCUCUCAGCAACAACAACAACAACCACACCCACAAUUCCUUAUCAUCAUCCCCAUUUGCUUUUUGUCCUUCAAUCAAGAGCCACCUCCACCAUGUUUCCUCUACCAUCUUCUUUCCACGAGGACCACACCACCACCACGAGCUCCUCCUCGACUCCUCCCAUGGCAGUGGAAGCCUCCAUCACCACAGGCCCCCCUCCUCUGUCGACGAGCGUUGAUAACUGAGAUGCAAAUAAGUAACACAAGAAAGUGCAGUGGAAAUAAGUAAGUAAAGCAGAACGAUCAGCACACAGAGAUUUAUACUGAUUCACCCUAAAUGAUUGGGCUACGUCCAGUACUUGGCCACCACCAAGAUUUUCACUAGCAAGUAUCAAGACUUCUCCAAUACAAGUAUUCAACAAGACUUCUCCCACAAGUAUUAUCACGAACUUCUCCAAGUAUUCUACAGGACUCCUCCUACGAGUAUUAAUCAGGACUUCUCCAAUAAUCUUACAAAGAUUAAAUCACUCUACGAAAUUUCUCUUCAUUCAAGAGUAGUGGUAGAGAAUUUAUGGUACUGGAACUCUAAGUGGUUGGGUUUAGAUCUGACUUUGAAUCACUUAAGAGUUCUGAAACUAAGUGAGAAGAGAAUAAAAAUAUUUGACUAUUUUAAGGUACGAGGUUCUCUCUUUCACUUGCAGAAGUAAAGGCUUGUGUUUGACUCUUAGAAACUUUAUGCUUGAGCUUUGAAUGCUUUUGAGAAGAUCGGAAUAAAUGCUUGAGUUCUUGUUCUUUCAGAAUUAAUUCUGUUUGUCUUCAAUCUUCAAGAGUGCCUUAUAUACUCGCUUGCUAGUGUUGUAGCCGUUGUGAGACAAAAUCCAACCGUUGCUCUAGCCGUCGUGAAAUGAGAUCAAACCGUUGAUUCAAAUGACUUUGGUUGGUAGCUCCAUUUAAUGCGAGCUCAGAAGUAAGUCUAUCCUUUACCCGUAAAGAUGAUGUUUGUCAGCUAGUAGGUGGUGAUAGACUUGGGCUACUUAAUUUUCAGACAUGAGACAAUUGGAAAAUAUGAUGUUGACGGCUUGUACUUUUCCCUUGUUGGUCAGCGUGCCUUUAGCUGAAGUAAACUAGUCUUCACGUGAUCUGAUUUGAAUAUAAGUCAAUUGGUUGCCUUUUGAUUUGAACGUUGGGCAACUGGUUACAAUCAAACUUUAACUUUGGCGCUCAAAAUUUGUCUUCAAUAAAUCUGACUGAUGAUGUGGCAUUGGACGAUCAGAGACUUGAAUCUUGAGUGAGAGUCAGUUUGCUUCCCAAACUGUUUUGUAACUUCUGAAGCUUUACUUUUAUGAGAUGAUAGAACGUUGAAGCAUAUAACAUUACUUGAGUUUCUCCUGAAAUUCAAAUGCUAUAGUGAGUUCAAUUUUCAAUGAGACUUUUGUAAAAUUGUUAUAAUCAAAAUAAGAUUUUAAAAACGUUAUGAUGCGUUUGAACUUAACAGAUAACCAUCACCACCUUGGCUCCUCCUUCCUCCACGACACCCUACACCAU